Molecule: non-coding RNA, 25 nt
Filed under: Rattus norvegicus (Norway rat)
Lineage: Eukaryota; Metazoa; Chordata; Mammalia; Rodentia; Muridae
Source: RNAcentral
UGAGCGGCUGGAUGAUGUUCGUCCU